Molecule: long non-coding RNA, 871 nt
Organism: Aedes albopictus (Asian tiger mosquito)
Lineage: Eukaryota; Metazoa; Arthropoda; Insecta; Diptera; Culicidae
Exons: 2
Source: RefSeq, a predicted model, not a curated record
CACUUAAUCUCCAAAUUUGAUCUCGGUAAACACGAAUAACGAACUCAAUCGGUAAAGAUUAGUUCAACUGAAAUGUCGUUAAAAUUUGACAGUUCAUAAAAAAGAACUUGUCAAAAGUAACGAAAUUCGGUAAUUUACGUUCAUUACUGAUUAUCGGCAAACUUUUUUGCCACAGCAAUCGGUAAUCUAAUCAUAUUGCUGAAUUUCGGUAAAGUGCAUCUGUCAAAAGUCAAAACGAGACAUGUUUCCGGGUGCCAUCUUCGAAAAAAAAAGGAAGAAGGAUUUUUUGAAGCUGGAAUGAUUUUCUUCGUUGUUUUGGAUAGAGCGCUGUUGAAGGAGUGCCGGAUUCUCACUCUAAAAACCUGCCAGUUUGAUUGCUGCCAGCAGAUAGAAAACCAGCAAAGCUAGCAAAAUAGUCCGCAUCAAGCAAAUCGGUCAUAAAUCCACCCGAAAUGGUAGAUGUCCACAAAGACCGCCCGGAAAAGUGCUCCCUCGUCCGGCAGAGUAAAAAUGCCGCAUCAUCACCGACCGGGAAUGGUAGCUCUGCAAAAAAUCCGUCGCUACCUACAGUCCGUUGUCGUUCCAGCGCUUGGUGCGUGAUUUCUAAGGCGGAUCUGCGCUUCGAAUGCAUCACCGUUGCUGCCCUGCAGGAAGCCAGCGAAGAGUACCGGAUUGUUCAAGGACACCAUCUGUGCACGAUCCAUGCCGAGAGCGUCAGCCGAAGGACAUCCAUCUGGUCCGGCACAUCGGUGGCGAGCGUGCGAGGAAGUGACCCCGGGAGAAGUGUAAAAUUGUAUUCAGGAGUAUGCAUUUUUUUGCGUUAUUUGUUGGUUAUUUGCUUGUAUGAAUAAAAAUGUUGGCAUAUUCAUCA